Molecule: RNA transcript, 2126 nt
Organism: Phyllopteryx taeniolatus (common seadragon)
Lineage: Eukaryota; Metazoa; Chordata; Actinopteri; Syngnathiformes; Syngnathidae
Exons: 9
Source: RefSeq, a predicted model, not a curated record
AAAACGAACAAAAAAAACCAUGUCGGCGGUGUGGGACAGACAACACGUCGCCGUUUUUUUACGAUCAUUGGGCUCUAACUUGUCAACUCAAAUGCGACCGGAUACACUCGUUACCGUGGCGACGACAGCAAGCGUGGAGCGAGCCGACGGUAUUAUAAGGACAAAAUGGGGAAAAACGUGCGUUGGUGGUCACCGGUGCUCAGGACAGGAGAGGACGUUCGUUUAAGGCUUGCUUGUUACCCACACACUUCCUGCCUGACUUCCUGGACGCCCACCAAAACCUUCCAGGGCUCAUUAUGCCGGCUCGCUGCAUGGGAACGAGCGGGAGCGAUAAAACCAGGAGGCGCUUUGCAGCGGUGGGGGUGUAACGGCAUCUGUUGGCCUCUAAGUGGCUGGCACGAGUACUCAGGCGUGGAGAAUCCCCUAUCAGGCUGCAGCGUUGAAUGAGGCUCUCCGGAAAACCCCCGACACUCCUCCAGUCACGGCAACAUCCUUUAAGUCGGUUGCACACUGAUCCACGCGGCCGAACAAGAACUCACUUCACUCGCGAUUGGAGAUUUGAGGACAGCUUCCAUCUUGGAUUUGAAUGAAGUGGCUGGUGUCCUAAUAGGAUGGAAAUAUGAAGAAGAAUAGUGAGGGGCGCUACUGAUCUCGCUAAAGUGACCUGGAUGGACGUCAAGCGAGGUUUAUCAUGCUAGCGAGUGGCGACCAUUGAGAGCAACGACAAAACACCAGCGCUGGCGGCAUCAGAUCCGGGAUUCGGCCCGGCUCCUCUUCCUUCAGUGGAUCCGGGCUGGCAGUCACGUGGGGAGGAGGCCAUGCAACUGCGAGCUCGACGACUCGGCAUCCAGGUACGCAACUGACGUAUGACAGGCCGGCUAUGUUUGUACUGCGGGCUACCAGGACACCAGGUUUCAUCAUGCCCAAGGAAACCACUUCCGACUGGCGGGAACGAGUCUGCACGCCGCUACAGCUCAACGGUGCCAAGUCAGCCAACCUCCAUGAAGCCCCAGGACCAAACAAAUAACUGUGAGUUGCAUGAGACUGAUUCGACCCCUUCUAGGACUCUCACCCGAGCAACUAGUCUCCUUCAGCUCCCUGGUAGGAUUUUUCUUAAUGGUAACCGCCUUAAAGUUAGAGCACUGGUGGAUUUUGGGGCCGACGAUUGUUUUGUGGACUUGUCGGUCGUUGAAACACUUAAAUGUUUGAUAGUUAAAUUGAGGAAUGCUAACGAGGGAAGGGAUCUUAAUGGGGACCUUAUCGCCACUGUUACACAUGAGACUGAGUCCCUGGGGUUGGUCUUGUCAGGUAACCAUCACGAGACCAGACGUUUUUUUGUUAUGCCAACCCAAUUGCCACCUGUUUUGGGCCUUGCAUGGCUCAAGCUCCCGCCUUCUCUCAGGAUCCACCCUGUUUUUCAUGUGUCAUUACUGAAGCCAGUUUCCUCCAGCCCGCUGAGUCUGUCAUAGGUGCCCCCUCCUCCUCUGCGCCUGGUCUACGGUGCGCCUGUUUUUUCUGUGAGGCCGAUUAUGGACUCCAGAAGAAGGGGCAGGGGUGUACAGUAUCUGGUCGACUGGGAGGGAUAUGGCCCAGAGGAACGGCAAUGGGUUCCUGGAUCCUGGAUCCCACUCUUAACCCCAUCUUCCACUCUCAUCACCCUGAGAAACCUGUCCCUGGGUGCUGGUCAGUGGGCGGAGUCUCCCGCGAUGCAGCUGCUGGUGAUUUGUCAUCAGCAGUGUAUUUAAGCAUGGGAGACGCAGGAGAAGAACGCCAAGAAAUUGUACUUUGCUUGUUGCCAUUGCCUUGCCAGCUUUGUUGCAUUCCAACGUUCAUUCCGUCCUGCCUGGUACUGUAAUGUCCUGGCAUGUGGGCAAGGAAAGCCACAGUCGAUGAUGGACUUUCGGACGUUUAUUGAACGAGACAAACAGUCAAACACACAAAUGCAAAACGAGAACGGGGCUGCUGUAGGUCACCGCUCACGCCCAGACGCUCACGCGCCGACUGACCGACACUAUCUCCUGAUGUCACUCACUCGGUCACGCCACUUAAAGGCACACAACCAACACACGGAUAUCAGAGUACGUACUGUACAGUAAUUACACUGUAUAAAAUCAGUUUAUUCCUUA